This is a non-coding RNA of Notechis scutatus (mainland tiger snake), 435 nucleotides long. NCBI's taxonomy places the organism in Eukaryota, Metazoa, Chordata, Lepidosauria, Squamata, Elapidae. The record is from RefSeq and is a predicted model, not a curated record.
GUUAUAGUUUACUGAAGGUCAAGUGAAAUACAUGAAAGCAAAGCCAGAACUGAGGUUCGUGCGCCAAAGGUAUAGUUUACUGAAAGUCAAGUAAAAUACAGUAAAACAAAGGCAGAACUGAGGUUCGCGCGCCAAAGGUAUAGUUUACUGAAGGUCAAGUAAAAUACAGUAAAGCAAAGCCAGAACUCACGUUCCUGCACCAAAGGUAUAGUUUACUGAAGGUCAAGGAAAAUACAAUAAAGCAAAGCCAGAACUGAGGUUCGCGUGCCAAAGGUAUAGUUUAACAGUAAAGCAAAGUCAGAACUGAGGUUCGUGUGCCAAAGGUAUAGUUUAGUGAAGGUCAAGUGAAAUAUAGUAAAGCAAAGUCAGAACUGAGGUUCGUGAGCCAAAGGUAUAGUUUAGUGAAGGUCAAUUGAAAUACAAUAAAGCAAAGCC